ACAAAAAAAAACUUAAGAGCACACCAAAAUGAAAGUAACUACAGAGUAAAUAGUAUUACCAUUGGAUAUUCAACACAGAUUAAAUAGUGUUACCAUUGGAAAUUCAAACAGUGACCAAUGAACACAUAUAUAUAGCUGGAAGACAGGGAAUAAUGGUAGUGAAGUACCUUAUAUGUCAGGAAUUUUAGCUUCACCAUCAGAUUUGAAUCCUCAUCAGCCAGACCAUCCUUAGCUGACGAAUUUGAAUCCAAGGCACCAUUGAUAUUUUUCAGUGAGGUGUCAAUGUCUUCCGAAGGUAUGGAAGAUUUCAUAUUAUUAACCUUGAACAGGUUUACAUCAACAAAGAAACCUAACAAUGAAACAUAGGUCAGUCUAUGGUGUCAUAAUAAAUGUAUGAAUAGUAAGAAAUAUGACCUUAUUAUUUUGAGGGAAGAUAAUUGAGUAACAGAAGGCUAAUCUCACCCCUAUACAGUGGCCACAACCCUUGAUUUCUCCUGAAAAUAAUGCGGCAUUCUUUUAGAGCUAACAAAUUAGGGAAACAUAAAAGUGAGACAUAAGGUCGACUUUACAUGCUCACCUCAUCUCUUGCUGAUAGCGUCUAAAAACAGAAUCACUGAGCACAUGGAUGACCAUUUUGUAAUACAAGCUGUCAUUCGAUAGAGAGUCAAUUUUGUGGUAGUUCCAAUAACAUUUAAAAGCUGCAGGGAAAUUCCUCUGCUUCAUCACACGAAUCAUCUCCUGUAACAAUACGUUGGGACUAAAUUAUCCUCUGACAAAAGCAGAUACAGAAGUAUUACAGCAUAAAAAAAAAUCUAUUGCUGACCAAGAACCAAUCAAAGAUGCCAACCUGCAGUUUCUUAGUUGUGUAGUCUGUAGGAUGUGCUUGCAAAAACUUAGUGACGACCGAUCUGUUAGCACUUGGAGACUGAUGAUCAUCAAGGCCACUACAUCCAAACCAAUCAGAAUGGUCUGGACACAUUGAAGGUCCAACAUUUUCAAGAAGUGCUUUAAUUUGCUGGCCAUGUCAAAGUAGUUAGAUGUUUAAAUAAACAGGAUGAGAACAAUGCAAAGUCAAGGAAAAUAAAAAACGAUCAAAAAAUAAAACUUAACAACAUUGAAUUAUACCUGCUUUUCAUCUGAUCUAUUAGCAGCACAUAUUUCUCGCAGACUUGGUCCUAAAUCAGAGCCAACUGCAUAGGAAAAAAGAACUUCUGAAUAAAUGAUAAAAGAUGCAGUAUUUACCACUUCACAACUCAAACAUAUCCAAAAAGAAAACCUAGGACAUACUUCCUCCAGCCCUAAAUACAUUCCUAGCAUGCAAAGCACAUAAUAGUAGGGAUUGAAUGUAAAAUGUUGCUUAUACCCCUUAUUAAAUGAGUGCCAGUUGGGAGUGAAAAAGUAGUUAAGGGUAAAAUGGGAAGAAAUUUGAAAGGAAUGUGGUUGGAGGGAAAGGUAGCAGGCUAGAAAUGCACUCUUUGUGGGACAAAAGUAGUAAGUAGGCUAGAAGUGUGCCUAUUAUGGAACAGAGGUAGUACUUAAAUGCACCCAAAAGAAUUUGAAUAAAAGCAAAUUAUACCAACAUCAUGGUUCACAGAUCUAUACACAAUUGCAAAAGUGAAUGUUCUCCUUUUUAUGUAAUCCAUGUGGUUGGGCACGAUUCAAGAAAAAAUGCUUUACUUGUGGGUUUAUAUGACAUUCUAAAUGAGAAAAAGUCCCAAACGCGUCCAAAGUUAUCAUAACCAAAGAAUAUAAUUGCAGUAUUUUUCAAUUCCGCCUUCUGUCAUUUUUCUAAUACAAGUGCAUAAAAAUAAUUUUCUUAUGAUUCUCUUACAAUGAUAUGGUUCGAUCAUUCACUUACCGAGAGGUUAGCAACAGAAUAACACGAGUAGUAUUUCCAUAGUUUCUUGUCCAAAAAAAAAAGUAUUUCCAUAGUAGAAGUAUGAAAAUAAUUGGUCCAUUUGUUCUAAUGAGAAUAUCUUAGUAUGCAUAUUCGAAAAAAAAAAAGAAGAAAAGAAUACUUAUUAGUAUUAGGGAUGGGUCUGGGUCUGGAUCAAACAAUACUCUAGUGGGUAACCCACCGUAGUUCAACUAAAUCAACUUUGCAGCUUUUCUAGUUCAUGCUGGGUAAGUAGUUCAUUUCGUUGAAUUUAAAUGGGCCUAUGGGUACCGGUAGAUUGGCACAUAGCACCACAGCUCACUCCCAUCCCCACUUAGUAUUGAUAUGUAUACUGAUCAUUAAAGUAAACUGAAACAACUCAUUUAUUUUAGCAACUUACCUCCAUCUAAUGGAGGCAGGGGAUAGUUCCUCAAGACUUCUUCUAUUUGCACUGAACUUUCACGGCUAACAAUACGGGCAACCAGGCCUUCAAGUAUCUCACCCUGCACCUUUACAUGAUCCUUUGACCCUAGAAAUUACAUAAUAGUAAGUACUAUGAGGAAACGAGAUGAAAGGAUACCAGUUCAGUCUACAAAGCAGUAAGACAAUGAUUCAAGAUAAGUAUACCUGGUACAGCUACAUCAGCUAUCUCAUCUAGGGCUUUGCAAACAGAUGUUGCUGUCCCCUCUUCACAUAGAGCGUCAUAUGCAGCAAAAAAUGACGAGGCAGAUUUCCUAGUAAAAGAUACAUCAAACAUAGUAAUGUUACGAUCAUCAGACCCAAUCACGGAUAUAUAUGCAUGCUCUGAGGUUGAGUGAAAAAUAAUAUAUACAAGUCUGAUGGAUAGGAGUUGAACAGAAAAUGAACACAGAGUAGCUUCAAAGCUACGAUUAUCUACACCAUAGGGAUGCAAAUCAAUGAAUAUAAGACGUUCUUAGAAUGGAGACAUCAAUUUCUGUACAAGCAUACAUUGGCAUAAGCCUAGUGAUCAAAUCAACUCAGUGAUCAGUUGAUAUCAGAAAUAAAAAAUAAAUAACACAAAAAAUGGAUAUAUUUCUGACGAGGGAAAUAGUUUCAAUAAAAUAGAAGUCAUGGUUGGUAAUUUUACCAUCAGGAGUUUAGGAAUUUUAGUCCUAUGUAAAGCUCUACAGAUCUAUUAUAUUAAACUGAUGGCACCAAAACCUUUCACAUUUAAUAUGAAUGUAGAACACACAAGUAUGAUGGAAUGCAAGGCUUCCAAAUAUCAUCAGAUGAGCACCUUGUCGAAAAUAGCCAGACAUGGUUUGUAGGUAGACGCCAUUUCCGACAAAACUCAAUUACCUCUGGAGUAGAAUAAAAUUUUGGCUUGCCAUGACCCAACUCAGUCACAGCAGUAAUCACAGCUGCACAAAUGCCAAAUAAGAUGAUAAAUAAUGCAUUUCAUAUAUACAAUAAAUAAUGCUGAAAGUGAAAAUUGGAGUGAACACAGCUAGUGAACUCAAAGUACAGUGGCAAAAGUAGUUUCCUCCAAAUUAUACCAUCCAAGUAUCAGCACUACCAUGGCAAGUAGAGUAACAAAAAAAAGGGCAUAUCAAAGCAGGCUGGUUCACAUUUAAUAAUUAGAAUUUCCCAAACAUAUCAUGGAU
RNAcentral lists this small RNA (3501 nucleotides) under Oryza sativa Japonica Group (Japanese rice). RNAcentral's name for it is "sRNA Os07g0191801". Lineage: Eukaryota; Viridiplantae; Streptophyta; Magnoliopsida; Poales; Poaceae. The record is from RNAcentral.